AAUGAACGCUGGCGGCAUGCCUAACACAUGCAAGUCGAACGAAGCCUUCGGGCUUAGUGGCGCACGGGUGCGUAACGCGUGGGAAUCUGCCCUUGGGUUCGGAAUAACAGUGGGAAACUACUGCUAAUACCGAAUGAUGUCGCAAGGCCAAAGAUUUAUCGCCCAGGGAUGAGCCCGCGUAGGAUUAGCUAGUUGGUGUGGUAAAAGCGCACCAAGGCGACGAUCCAGCUGGUCUGAGAGGAUGAUCAGCCACACUGGGACUGAGACACGGCCCAGACUCCUACGGGAGGCAGCAGUGGGGAAUAUUGGACAAUGGCGAAAGCCUGAUCCAGCAAUGCCGCGUGAGUGAUGAAGGCC
RNAcentral lists this ribosomal RNA (357 nucleotides) under uncultured bacterium. RNAcentral describes it as "bacterial SSU rRNA". It matches the Rfam family "Bacterial small subunit ribosomal RNA", at positions 29 to 416 of the family's 1533-position model. The record is from RNAcentral.